Molecule: ribosomal RNA, 259 nt
Filed under: uncultured prokaryote
Description: partial 16S ribosomal RNA
Rfam family: Bacterial small subunit ribosomal RNA
Source: RNAcentral
UACAGAGGUGGCGAGCGUUGUUCGGAUUUACUGGGCGUAAAGCGUGCGUAGGCGGUCGCGUGUGUCGGAUGUGAAAUCCCGGGGCUCACCCCCGGAAGUGCAUCCGAAACUGCGUGGCUUGAGGCCGGGAUGGGUGACUGGAACACAUGGUGUAGCGGUGAAAUGCGUUGAUAUCAUGUGGAACACCGGAGGCGAAGGCGAGUCACUGGAACGGAUCUGACGCUGAGGCACGAAAGCGUGGGGAGCAAACAGGAUUAGA